AUACAGAGGGUGCGAGCGUUAAUGGGAAUUACUGGGCGUAAAGCGCGCGUAGGCGGUUAUUUAAGUCAGAUGUGAAAUCCCUGGGCUCAACCUAGGAACUGCAUCUGAAACUGGGUAACUAGAGUUUAGGAGAGGGGAGUAGAAUUUCGGGUGUAGCGGUGAAAUGCAUAGAGAUCCGAAGGAAUACCAGUGGCGAAGGCGACUCCCUGGCCUAGAACUGACGCUGAGGUGCGAAAGCGUGGGUAGCAAACGGGAUUAGAAACCCUAGUAGUCC
This 274-nucleotide ribosomal RNA is filed under the name uncultured bacterium. Its description in RNAcentral is "partial 16S ribosomal RNA". It matches the Rfam family "Bacterial small subunit ribosomal RNA", at positions 523 to 796 of the family's 1533-position model. The record is from RNAcentral.